UAGGAUAAUAGUUAAUAAUAACAUUUAAGUUGCAUUUAAAAAUAAUUGGUAAAAUCAAUUUAUCUU
RNAcentral lists this transfer RNA (66 nucleotides) under Amarygmini sp. ACP-2013. Its description in RNAcentral is "tRNA-Ala". Lineage: Eukaryota; Metazoa; Arthropoda; Insecta; Coleoptera; Tenebrionidae. The record is from RNAcentral.